RNAcentral lists this long non-coding RNA (1166 nucleotides) under Phasianus colchicus (ring-necked pheasant). RNAcentral describes it as "lncRNA (ENSPCLG00000017679.1)". The record is from RNAcentral. Lineage: Eukaryota; Metazoa; Chordata; Aves; Galliformes; Phasianidae.
AGGCCCCCCUUAUCCCCGCCCCCUCGGUUCCCAUUGGCCGCAGCCCCCCCGUUAUCCCCGCCCCCCGGCUGCCAUUGGCCGCACUUGUCGCAGAAGGCGGAGAUGGUUUCCCAGUAGUGCUCGUGCACCGCGAACCACUCGCAGUCGCCGGGCCCGAUGUUGAUGUUCACCGAGCAGAAGUUGUUGUUCUCCUGGUGGCCUGGGGGGGGGGAACCACAACGUGUCACCUCCACCGCGUGUCACCUCCCCCAGUGUCACCUCCACAAUGUGUCACCUCCCCCAAUGUCACCUCCAUGUGGUGUCACCUCCCCCAAUGUCACCUCCAUGUGCUGUCACCUCCAAAAUGUGUCACCUCCCCCCCAUGUCACUUCCAUGUGGUGUCACCUCCCCAACAUGUCACCUUCAUAGUGUGUCACCUCCCCCCCACGUCACCUCUGUGUGCUGUCACCUCCAAAAUGUGUCACCUCCAUGUGGUGUCACCUCCACACUGUGUCACCUCCACAAUGUGUCACCUCCACGUGUCACCUCCAUGUGCUGUCACCUCCAAAAUGUGUCACCUCCCCAACGUAUCACCUCCAUGUGGUGUCACCUCCCCAACGUGUCUCCUCCCCCAAUGUCACCUCCAUAAGGUGUCACCUCUCCAACGUGUCACCUUCAUGUGGUGUCACCUCCGCAACGUGUCACCUCCCCCCCAUGUCACCUCCAAACGGUGUCACCUCCCCAAUGUGUCACCUCCAAAGUGUGUCACCUCCCAUGUCACCUCCAUGUGGUGUCACCCCCAAAAUGUCACCUCCCCAACGCGUCACCUCCACAACAUGUCACCUCUCCCCCAUGCCACCUCCAUGUGCUGUCACCUCCAAAAUGUGUCACCUCCCCUAAUGUCACCUCCCCCUGGUGUCACCUACCCAACGUGUCACCUCCCCAACGUGUCACCUCCACUGCAUGUCACCUCCACAGCGUCACCUCCCCCGUCACCUCCAUGUGCUGUCACCUCCAAAAUGUGUCACCUCCACACUGUGUCACCUCCCCAAUGCAUCACCUCCCCCUGGUGUCACCUCCAAAAUGUGUCACCUCCAUGUGCUGUCACCUCCAAAAUGUCACCUCCACAACGUGUCACCUCCAAAAUGUGUCACCUCCCCCCCAUGUCACCCCCAAAAUGUGUCACC